RNAcentral lists this long non-coding RNA (1638 nucleotides) under Canis lupus familiaris (dog). RNAcentral's name for it is "lncRNA (ENSCAFG00040006400.1)". Lineage: Eukaryota; Metazoa; Chordata; Mammalia; Carnivora; Canidae. The record is from RNAcentral.
AUGCAGGGAGGCAGGACGCGUUCUGCUGGGGGGUUGGUGGUUUUCGGAGCAGGACGCAGGGCAAGGCUGGGCCAGAGCGGAGCGCACGUCCGCACCAGGGGGCCGCGCCCCGGGGGGGCCUCGCACCCCCCCCACGACAGCAAACAGCAGCUCCAAGAAGGAAGAAGAGGAUGCCUCGUGGGGUGCCCAGGGGCGGGGGGGGGGGGGCGGGGGGGCGGAGGGGCGGCUCGUGGAUGCCCAGGGGCGGGCGGUGGGGUGCCCAGGGGCGGGGCGGGGCGGAGGGGCGGCCUCGUGGGAUGCCCAGGGGCGGGGCGGGGGGGCGGCCCCUUGGGGUGGGGUGGGGUGGGGCGGAGGGGGCGGCCCCGUGGGGUGCCCAGGGGCGGGGCGGGGGGGCGGCCCCGUGGGGUGCCCAGGGGUGGGUGGAGGGUGCGGCCCCGCGGGUGGGGCGGGGCGGGGGGGGCGCGGCCGAGAAGGCCCUCCCGAGCGCACAGGGCGCCCCGGCAUCCGCGCGGUCGGGUGCUCCGCGCCGGCUCCGCGGGGGGGGGGGUCCGGGGCCGCGCUCCCCCGCCGCCCGCCCGCCCGCGCGCGCCCGUUGCCCGCACCUCCCUCCCCGGGCCGCGGCUCGCAGGCAGCCCCGAGCGGGGGUGCGGGGCGCGGGAGGGGCCCGGAGGGGCGGGGCGGGGCGCGGCCUGCGGGGCGGGCUCGUCCGGGGCGGGGCGGGGCGGGGGCGCGCGGCGGCGGCGGCGGCGGCGGCGGCGGCCGCGUGCCCGGAGCUGCGGGCGGACGCCGGGAGCUGAGCGCCGCCGCGGGGAGGCCGGGCCCGGAGCCGCCGCGAGCUCGGCCGCGGACGCGCAGGGGAAGAUGGCGACGGCCGGCGCGAGCUGCGAGCCCGGCGUGUCCCGCGGCCCGGAGGACGCGGCGGGCGGCGCGGCGGAGGCGGCGGUACGCGGGGCGCGGGCGGGGGCGCGGGCGGGGGCGCGGGCGGGGGCGCGGGCGGGGGCCGGGGGCGCCCUGCGGCGGGUCGGGCGGUGCCGGCGGCGCAGGGUGGGCGGCCGCGGGGUGACGCCGCCUCGGGGCAUCCGUGCGGCCCGGGCAGGUGGGCCAUUGUGUGCGCCCCGAGCCGAGCCCGCCCGACCCCGACCCCGAGCCCGAGCCCGAGCCGCACGGCGGGGAGGCCUGCGCCGGAGUCCGGGGGCGGCGGGGGCGCGGGGGGCCGGGGGGGGCCGGGACCCGCGGGGCCGCUCUUCCCCCGCGUCGGGGCGCGCAGCUUCCAGCGGGAGGCGGACCCCGGGGGAGCCCGCAGCCGGGGAGGGGAGGGGAGGGGAGGGGAGGGGGCGCGACCGGCCAGCGCCCCGGGGAGCGGGGCUGCCGGGUGCCGCUUGCAAAACUUGCAAGUCUUCAUCGGAAACUUUCGGGAAAAAUCGACUUUUCGUUCUUUGCACGGAAAACGUGAGCUGCAGGGUUCAGAGGAAUCCGGCUCCCUUCGGUGACAUACCCCGCGGAACCGGCUGUGUAGACGCCGCAGACCUCUGGGGGGUGGGAGCGAGCGGCGCCUUCCUCCCCGGGGCUGCGGGGGGCGACCUGGGGGCUGCAAAGUGGCUGCGGGGGGCGACCUGGGGGCUGCGGGGUGCUGCCUAG